This 2094-nucleotide long non-coding RNA is filed under the name Citrus x clementina. Its description in RNAcentral is "Citrus clementina (C. clementina) long non-coding RNA (CCLE_LNC002322)". Lineage: Eukaryota; Viridiplantae; Streptophyta; Magnoliopsida; Sapindales; Rutaceae. The record is from RNAcentral.
UUUUGGCCACCAAAAAUCACGGAAAAACUAUAUCUUUGCUCCAAAAUCAUCACUCAUGUAUUAUUUAACAACAAUUUGAUCAAAUAUGCCCAAAUUCGAAAAAUUCAAAAAAUCCGAAAUUAAAAGAAAAAUUCCAUGAGUGAGGUUUCACCAAAAAAUCAACUAUGGUUUACAAGGAAAUGCAUAAUCAUAGGCUCUGAUACCAAUUGAUGAAACAAAAACAAAUUUUAUGCCCUUAAUCGUGCAUUUCCAAAUUAAACACAUAGUUUAGGAAAUUUCGAAAUUACCGUGAUCUCCCAUGAAUCCAACCUUGAAAGCUUGUUAUGGAGCCUCAAGAGAGUUGCUACUUGCUUGAUCUAGCUUCUGAAUUCAGUUUCCAUUGCUUCAGCUCACGGAUCGGCUUUGCUUCUCUAAGUUACUGUACACACAAACACACACACGGGAGUUAACUCUCAAUGGGCUGAAGUUACUUAAAUACAGCGGUUGAGCGCAGGGACCCCUCAUGUGUUAGUACAAAAUUGACAAUAAAAUCUAGAACUCCUCGAGCCUAUACAAUAGCCAAUAAAAUGACCACUAAUGGUUUUCGGAUCAAGUUUCCUUGAUUGUGGAUUAUAGGGCCUCACUUCUGCUUUGCAUCCCCAGACAUGGAAAUGAUGAAGACUAGGUCUCUUCCCUGACCACAACUCAUAAGGAGUUUUGGGCACCGAUUUACUAGGUACCUGAUUCAAAAUGUAAGCUGCAGUUCUUAAGACUUCACCCCACAGAAAAUCUGGUAAGGUGGAGUUACACAGCAUACACCGCAUCAUGUCAAGAAGGGUACGAUUUCUCCUUUCUGCAAUUCCAUUCUGUUCAAGAGUUCCAGGCAUUGUAUACUGGGCUUCUAUUCCACAUUCUUGAAGAAAACGAGCAAAAGGUCCAGGAUUACGCCCAGUUUCAUCAUAUCGCCCAUAGUACUCACCACCUCUGUCUGAUCUUACUGCUUUAAUUUUCUUGCCAUUUUGGAGCUCAACAUUAGCCUUAAAGGCUUGAAACACAGAUAAAGAUUCAGACUUUUCAACAAGAAGUUCAACAUGACCAUAACGAGAAAAGUCAUCGAUGAACGUGAUGAAGUACUUAUAACCUCCAAUAGCAAUAGGAGUAAAUGGCCCACAAAUGUCUGUAUGUACCAACUCCAGCACCUGUUGACUUCUUUGAGUUCUCUCUUUUUGAAUCCACUCAUAUAUACUUGAUAAUCCUUUUGUUAUUGCUUCCUCAGCUCAUUCUCUCAAACAGUUUUAGCUUCAUUUCUGUUUCUUUUACGAUUGCUUAAGUGUUUCUUUAUCAAGUAUCAGAGUGUUUAGAUAAAUCUUGGGAAGUCUUGGUUGAUUAAUUUCGAUCAAGGUCUAACAACAAAUUAGCAACAUAAAGAGAAAAAGAACAGGAUGGAUUCUAUUUUUCUAUUAUAUGACUUGUGUAUUGAUCAUCCUAAACUUAAUAGAAAUUAAUUAGAACAACCCAAAAAAUAGUUAGACUACCAGCAUAAGCUUAACAAAGAUCGAAAAGCAAACCCUUUAGCUAGCUUAAAUAAAAAUUUUCUAUUUAAUUUCUCAGCUACCAAACAAUAAUUCCCAGAUAUGUCUAUCAAUUAAACAUGCAUGCAUGCAGGCCCCAAAAUAAAUUUAAACACAUAAUGGUGCUUGCUAGACCCUGGAAAUAUAACACUUUAAAAUUAUGACAAACCAUGGAACAAAAGCAAAAGAGUUCGUCAGAUUAGCAUAUAAUAAUUAAAAAAAAAUCCCACAUAGACAUACUUCAUCAAAUCCCAUAGAUUUAAUAAAUAAAAGAACAAACAAAAUCUACAUUUCAGAUCCAGAAAAAAAUCAAAAACUGAACACCAAUAGUACCAAAUCUCGCUAGUCGUCGACGUGAGACAACCGGUCGGUGAUGGGCGUGGCGUGACACAGAGCUUCAUGGGCGUGGCGUGCAACGAGCUUCGUGGGUGAGAGGGGCAGAGACCAGAGAGCUUCUGGGCCUGAGUGCCAGAGAGAGAGCGGGUGACUGAGUGAGAGAAAGAGAGUAGUAAAGAAUUUAGCUUUUUUAGAUUUUCUAGAUCUA